This 464-nucleotide ribosomal RNA is filed under the name uncultured bacterium. RNAcentral's name for it is "partial 16S ribosomal RNA". It matches the Rfam family "Bacterial small subunit ribosomal RNA", at positions 29 to 507 of the family's 1533-position model. The record is from RNAcentral.
ACGCACGCUGGCGGCGUGCUUAACACAUGCAAGUCGCACGGAAAGGCCCUGCUUGCAGGGUACUCGAGUGGCGAACGGGUGAGUAACACGUGGGUGAUCUGCCCUGCACUUCGGGAUAAGCCUGGGAAACUGGGUCUAAUACCGGAUAGGAGCCAUUUUUAGUGUGAUGGUUGGAAAGUUUUUUCGGUGUAGGAUGAGCUCGCGGCCUAUCAGCUUGUUGGUGGGGUAAUGGCCUACCAAGGCGGCGACGGGUAGCCGGCCUGAGAGGGUGGACGGCCACAUUGGGACUGAGAUACGGCCCAGACUCCUACGGGAGGCAGCAGUGGGGAAUAUUGCACAAUGGGCGCAAGCCUGAUGCAGCGACGCCGCGUGGGGGAUGACGGCCUUCGGGUUGUAAACUCCUUUCGCUAGGGACGAAGCUUUUUGUGACGGUACCUAGAUAAGAAGCACCGGCUAACUACGUG